AGAGUUUGAUCAUGGCUCAGGACGAACGCUGGCGGCGUGGAUUAGGCAUGCAAGUCGAACGGUAUCAUCCUUUCGGGGGUGAGAGAGUGGCGAACUGGUGAGUAACACGUAGGUUAUCUACCCUCAAGACGGGGACAACCCAGGGAAACUUGGGCUAAUACCGGAUGUGAGCAACUUUUAGUUGUUUGAAAGGUGGCGUAAGCUGUCGCUUGGGGAUGAGCCUGCGUCCUAUUAGUUAGUUGGUGAGGUAACGGCUCACCUAGGCAAUGAUAGGUAGGCGGCCUUAACGGGUGGUCGCCCACACUGGGAUUGAGAUACGGCCCAGACUCCUACGGGAGGCAGCAGUCGAGAAUAGUCUACAAUGGUCGGAAGACUGAUAGUGCGACGCCGCGUGAACGAUGAAUCCCUUCGGGGUGUAAAGUUCUUUUAUAUGUGAGCAGUGCUUCUUAUAUUAAGAGUAUGGGGAGAGAGAUAUUAGCAUAUGAAUAAGCAACGGCUAACUCCGUGCCAGCAGCCGCGGUAACACGGGGGUUGCGAGCGUUGUCCGGAAUUACUAGGCGUAAAGGGCAGGCAGGCGGAUCCAUAAGUUUAUCGUUUAAGGCGUCGGCUUAACCGGCGUAGGGCGGUAGAUACUGUGGAUCUGGAAUGCGGUUGGGGAAGACAGAAUUCCUGGUGUAGCGGUGGAAUGCGCAGAGAUCAGGAGGAAUACCGAAGGCGAAGGCAGUCUUCCAAGCCGUUAUUGACGCUCAACUGCGAAGGUGUGGGUAUCAAACAGGAUUAGAUACCCUGGUAGUCCACACAGUAAACGAUAAUCACUGGGUGUCGGGUUCGCAUAGGAUUCGGUGCCGUAGCUAACGCGUUAAGUGAUUCGCCUGGGGAGUACGAUCGCAAGGUUGAAACUCAAAGGAAUUGACGG
RNAcentral lists this ribosomal RNA (916 nucleotides) under uncultured bacterium. RNAcentral describes it as "bacterial SSU rRNA". It matches the Rfam family "Bacterial small subunit ribosomal RNA", at positions 8 to 916 of the family's 1533-position model. The record is from RNAcentral.